UACGUAGGGUCCAAGCGUUAAUCGGAAUUACUGGGCGUAAAGCGUGCGCAGGCGGUUUUGUAAGACGGCUGUGAAAUCCCCGGGCUCAACCUGGGAACUGCAUUCGUGACUGCAAGGCUAGAGUGUGGCAGAGGGAGGUGGAAUUCCGCGUGUAGCAGUGAAAUGCGUAGAGAUGCGGAGGAACACCGAUGGCGAAGGCAGCCUCCUGGGAUAACACUGACGCUCAUGCACGAAAGCGUGGGGAGCAAACAGG
Molecule: ribosomal RNA, 253 nt
Filed under: uncultured bacterium
Lineage: Bacteria
Description: partial 16S ribosomal RNA
Rfam family: Bacterial small subunit ribosomal RNA
Source: RNAcentral